CCUAAAUAAGCUUAUUUAGGAACCACCCUCCUAACCUGUUUCUUUUCCCGAAGGGAGCGACCGAGCGAGCGAGCGGCACGGUAGCGACGCGAGGGAGCGAGCGAGCUCUGGUCUGCCGCCGGCUGUUGCGUGCCCCCAGCCACCCCAACCACCUUCUCCACGUGCCGGCGCUGCCGCUUGCCGCUAGAUGCAGCCAGUCCUGGCCAUGCCGCCGCCUCGCGUGUAGUACUCCAACACCGGCCGACGCAGCCGCGCUCCACCACCAACCCGCCCGCGCGCACCAUUCUUUGACCUCCCCCGCUUCUACAGGCAGUCUGCUGCGUGCGGUGCUCCUCCAGGUUCCUCCCUGGCUUCCCCACUUGCGUCGCAGGCCACAACCCCUCCUCCCUCCUGCAUCCUGCCACGCGACAGUCUGCAGCGGGCUUCCUCUCCACGCCAUUCCGACCACCAGAUCCACGCGAGCUCGCCCUUUAGCCAUGGUUUCGGGCGUUGACUCUCGCCACUGUGCCUUCCCGGCCCCAUCGAAGCCAGGUGCCGCUGCCGUGGGGAGGUGGGUGGAGAGCACCCUUCUUUAGGCCCGUGGUGGGUGGCCUACUCCCUCUCCGGUGACAUAGCCCUGCCCAUCUCGGAUCUAGCUCCAGUGACACCUUCCCCAUGCCAUCGUUCCAGUGGAGGCGCAGAAGCUUGUUCCGGUGGUGACUUCCUGCUUUUCAGUUAACUUUAGUAGCGCUAAAACUCUUUGCCUCCUUCAGUUAACUUGCUCUUCAUGUCCUAGAUGGAUCUCGUCCUCGAGCAGUUCAUGGUGUGGAUCUCCGGCGGUUAGCUUUUGGGUUUCUUCUACUCCUCCGACCUGGGCUCUGUAGUCUGCAAUUAUUUGGGGGUUAUCUGUAGCUACUAGUUUGCUUGAACUGAAUAAGGAGUUGACUGAGCCGGCCAUUUCAGUUAGCUCAAACCGAAGAAAAAAAGGUGUGUUACUUGUCUAUUUGGAUACUUGGGUAGCCACUGAAUUUUACUGUUGAGGUCUAAUAUGUGUCAGGGCAUCUAAACUGCAGCAUUUACUGACGUGAUGUGUAUAGGUUACAAGGAUGCGUGUAUGUGUACUUGGAUGUUCAGUUCUUACUUGCAAAUAAUGUUGUGUCAAGAGUCAACACAUCCCUGUCCGGUUUAUUAUUUUGGGGAUCCAGUGAUUUUUUUUCCUGUUAGCAGUUAACUUCUGCUCCGUUGCGUCGGGGACCGACGAGGUGCUGGACCCCUCAUGGGGAUUUACUGGUGGAGCGACCUCUCUACAGCUAGCUCAAUUUCAUGGAUAAGUUAGCUAAGUUUCAAGGAGCAGUUUGCUUUACUGAUAGUUAUGUAAAAAAAGAAACAGAGACCACUGCUCAAUUAUCUCUUGCCCCCAUGCUACCAGCAGUGUGAUCCACGGUGCGCAGUUUGCCAAUGCUCAAUUUCAUGGAGUAGUUAGUUCAGGGACUGGCUGCAGUUAUCUUGCUUCCAAAAAAAUUAAGUGAUGUACACAACUAUGAUUUUGCCAAGCCCCUGCUUGCGUGAG
This 1549-nucleotide ribosomal RNA is filed under the name Triticum aestivum (bread wheat). Its description in RNAcentral is "partial small subunit ribosomal RNA". Lineage: Eukaryota; Viridiplantae; Streptophyta; Magnoliopsida; Poales; Poaceae. The record is from RNAcentral.